Molecule: ribosomal RNA, 484 nt
Filed under: uncultured bacterium
Lineage: Bacteria
Description: partial 16S ribosomal RNA
Rfam family: Bacterial small subunit ribosomal RNA
Source: RNAcentral
AUUGAACGCUGGCGGCAGGCCUAACACAUGCAAGUCGAGCGGAUGAAGGGAGCUUGCUCCUGGAUCCAGCGGCGGACGGGUGAGUAAUGCCCAGGAAUCUGCCUGGCAGUGGGGGAUAACGUCCGGAAACGGGCGCUAAUACCGCAGACGUCCUGAUGGUGAAAGUGGGGGAUCUUUGGACCUCACGCUAUCAGAUGAGCCUAGGUCGGAUUAGCUAGUUGGUGGGGUAAAGGGCUACUAAGGCGACGUUCCGCAACUGGUCUGAGAGGAUGAUCAGCCACACUGGAACUGAGACACGGUCCAGACUCCUACGGGAGGCAGCAGUGGGGAAUCUUGGGCAAUGGGCGAAAGCCUGAUCCAGCCAUGCCGCGUGUGUGAAGAAGGUCUUCGGAUUGUAAAGCACUGUAAGUUGGGAGGAAGGGCAGUAAGUUUAUCCCUUGCUGUUUUGACGUUACCAACAGAAAAAGCCCCGGCUAACUUCGUG